This 301-nucleotide ribosomal RNA is filed under the name uncultured bacterium. RNAcentral's name for it is "partial 16S ribosomal RNA". It matches the Rfam family "Bacterial small subunit ribosomal RNA", at positions 509 to 809 of the family's 1533-position model. The record is from RNAcentral.
CAGUAGCCGCGGGAAAACGAAGGGUGCAAGCGUUACUCGGAAUUACUGGGCGUAAAGCGUGCGUAGGUGGUGGUUUAAGUCCGUUGUGAAAGCCCUGGGCUCAACCUGGGAAUUGCAGUGGAUACUGGGUCACUAGAGUGUGGUAGAGGAUAGUGGAAUUUCCGGUGUAGCAGUGAAAUGCGUAGAGAUCGGAAGGAACAUCUGUGGCGAAGGCGACUAUCUGGGCCAACACUGACACUGAGGCACGAAAGCGUGGGGAGCAAACAGGAUUAGAUACCCGUGUAGUCCCUGUCUCUUAUAA